AUACGGAGGGUGCAAGCGUUAAUCGGAAUUACUGGGCGUAAAGCGUACGUAGGCGGUUUGUUAAGUUAGAUGUGAAAGCCCCGGGCUUAACCUGGGAACUGCAUUUAAAACUGGCAAACUAGAGUUGGGUAGAGGGAAGUGGAAUUUCAGGUGUAGCGGUGAAAUGCGUAGAGAUCUGAAGGAACACCAGUGGCGAAGGCGGCUCCCUGGACUCAAACUGACGCUGAGGUACGAAAGCGUGGGUAGCAAACGGGAUUAGAUACCCUAGUAGUCCC
Molecule: ribosomal RNA, 275 nt
Filed under: uncultured bacterium
Lineage: Bacteria
Description: partial 16S ribosomal RNA
Rfam family: Bacterial small subunit ribosomal RNA
Source: RNAcentral